UUAUGGUGCUAUAUGAAACUUUC
Molecule: small nuclear RNA, 23 nt
Filed under: Arabidopsis thaliana (thale cress)
Lineage: Eukaryota; Viridiplantae; Streptophyta; Magnoliopsida; Brassicales; Brassicaceae
Description: snRNA_08056
Source: RNAcentral